RNAcentral lists this ribosomal RNA (253 nucleotides) under uncultured bacterium. Its description in RNAcentral is "partial 16S ribosomal RNA". It matches the Rfam family "Bacterial small subunit ribosomal RNA", at positions 524 to 776 of the family's 1533-position model. The record is from RNAcentral.
UACAGAGGGGGCAAGCGUUGUUCGGAAUUACUGGGCGUAAAGCGCGUGUAGGCGGCUUGGCAAGUCGGGUGUGAAAGCCCUGGGCUCAACCUAGGAAGUGCACUCGAAACUGCUUCGCUUGAGUGUCGGAGAGGAAAGCGGAAUUCUCGGUGUAGAGGUGAAAUUCGUAGAUAUCGAGAGGAACACCGGUGGCGAAGGCGGCUUUCUGGACGAUAACUGACGCUGAGACGCGAAAGCGUGGGGAGCAAACAGG